AUGAAAUCGUAAAUGUUUGUAUUAUACAAAUUACAUUGUUAACAAUCUUAUGUGAGUACAACUUGAGUUUACAAACACAAGAAAAGCCUAUAAAAUAAUGAAAACGUCACAAUUUCACAUUUUUUUUGGAUGUACUUGUCUCUCCGUAUAGACUCUUCAAAAAUAUUGUUGUGCCUAUGAUGGAUUCUCCAAAAACGCACUAUUUUUGAAGGAUCCAACACAUAGCAAAAGACAUAAUUGAAAAGUCGGAGCAACAAACUGGUGAUAGCUCCAACAACAAAAUCUAUAUACAUUUCUCUGUUCAACAAUAUAACUCUGUAUGUGUUGAGGAUAACUUCUUUUAACAAAAAAUUUCACUCUCCAAACGUAGUAGAAUGCCAGAAAUGUGAGAAGCCAUGUAGUGAGAAGUUGUAAUGGGGGGGUACGCAAACUGCUCAGCUCCUUUUAAAGGGGAACCUAAGCUGACUUGGUUGUCGAUGGCUGCAAAGGUUCCUGUAGUGUAAGAUUGACUGGAAAUAGCAUACAUUGUGCAUAUUGAGUCAUCAACUGAUCCACGAGCACUAGGGCGACCAUUGCUUCCACCAUCGGAACAGCUCGUGGAACCACACAAGGAUCAUGGCGA
Molecule: unclassified non-coding RNA, 622 nt
Filed under: Hevea brasiliensis (rubber tree)
Lineage: Eukaryota; Viridiplantae; Streptophyta; Magnoliopsida; Malpighiales; Euphorbiaceae
Source: RNAcentral